AGAUUAAUCGGAUCGUAUGAAAGCUUCUAACUCUCAUUGGGGGGUUCAACUCCUCCAUAAUCU
RNAcentral lists this transfer RNA (63 nucleotides) under Dendrobaena tellermanica. Its description in RNAcentral is "tRNA-Ser". The record is from RNAcentral. Lineage: Eukaryota; Metazoa; Annelida; Clitellata; Crassiclitellata; Lumbricidae.